RNAcentral lists this ribosomal RNA (497 nucleotides) under uncultured bacterium. Its description in RNAcentral is "partial 16S ribosomal RNA". It matches the Rfam family "Bacterial small subunit ribosomal RNA", at positions 28 to 507 of the family's 1533-position model. The record is from RNAcentral.
GACGAACGCUGGCGGCGUGCCUAAUACAUGCAAGUCGAGCGAAAAGACGAGGAGCUUGCUCCUCUCACGUUAGCGGCGGACGGGUGAGUAACACGUGGAUAACCUACCUAUAAGACUGGGAUAACUACGGGAAACCGGAGCUAAUACCGGAUAAUAUACUGAACCGCAUGGUUCAUUAGUGAAAGACGGCGUUGCUGUAACUACUAGAUGGAUAUGGGCGGCAUUAGCUAGUUGGUAAGGUAACGGCUUACCAAGGCAACGAUGCGUAGCCGACCUGAGAGGGGGAUCGGCCACACUGGAACUGGAACAGGGUCCAGACUCCUACGGGAGGCAGCAGUAGGGAAUCUUCCGCAAUGGGCGAAAGCCUUACGGAGCAACGCCGCGUGAGUGAUGAAGGUCUUCGGAUCGUAAAACUCUGUUAUUAGGGAAAAACAGAUGUGUAAGUAACUGUGCACGUCUUGACGGUACCUAAUCAGAAAGCCACGGCUAACUACGUG